GGAAAACGCGUGAUUUUCGGCGAAAUUUUAUCGAAGGCCUUUAGGUCGUCGGUAUUAGCACAGUGAUUUAACUUACUGAAGGAUUGAUGGCUGUCGGUAAGAUGCUCGACUACUAAACCCCAAGACUUGGGUUUCCCUCAACCAUCUUUCAUUUUUGAGCCAAAUAAUUUCACUUUCUCAGCGAACCCUUGCCAGUUUUCCCCCAAUUGGGUUGCUUCGAAGCUCCUUGGCAAACUUUCAUUCACGGACGUCGUCUCCAUCCUUCGCACAACCAUUCAUAUACGUCGUCCUCGGUUGCACCUCAUUCUGUGGUUGCAGGGGCUCACCAUUGUGACAGGGUUUGUUCGAGACCAAGGGUUUGUUGGAGGGUAUUAGUAGAGCCUCCAUCUCCUUCCCUCAUGCGCAGAGGCAGAGGCAUUCACUCGUAGAGGAUCCUUUGCAGAGUUGGCUAUUGUAGUGGUGCAUCCAAGGUUGAGUGAAGCACACUUUAGGGAAAAUGUGUGGACAGUGUUCCCUUCUUCCCCUGUCGUGGUCUUGGGAGGUUGUCUUCGUCCAGGGAGGUUGUAUCGUGGAGUCAUGACUGGAGAAGGUUUAGACUGUCCUGAUAAAGGAAAUGGGGUAGCAAGGCCUAAAAAGAGGCAACGACAGGCCCCAAAGUAUGUACUUAGGGUGCCUGCUACAUUCCCUACCAUUGCUGCCCCUAGUCCAUCAUUCGUGGGGCCUCUUCCUACACCUGUAGUAGACCCUCCCCCUACUCUUUCAGUACACCCUCCUCCUACCCCUACAGUACACCCUCCUAGUACCUCUGCAGUACACCCUUCUCCUACCCCUGUAGCAGACCCUCUUCUUCCCCUUGUGAUUAUUACCCCCAAUCCUCCCCCCGACUGUACUUCUAUACCCUUCCUCAUCUUCUAGACCACCUUCUGAGAUUGCCACACCAUCUGCUGAUCUAGAUUCAGCUGGUGAUGGUGAAGGUGUUGAUCCGCCCCUCCAUGAUCGACCAUGGGUUGAGCCAUAUGGCAAAGGGUUUAUUCCAUCCAGGGUUACUUCCCAGGCCAUCACAUGAUCAAUUAAGCAAUAGUAUUUGAGUCCAUGGCCUACUUGGGGGGAGCAAUACCUAAAGAUGACAGAAAGCCAUUCUGAGAGCAUUUUAAGGUCUGUGUGGUUGGAUAAGAAAUACAAAUAUGAAACAAUUUUCACUGAAUCAAACCAAAGGCUUUACCGAAGGCUUUUGACCUUCGGUAAUUACCGAAGGCUUUAGGUCUUCGGUAAUUACUGAGAGGCAAAAGCCGUCAGUAAAGGUUAGUGACAGGUUUUACCGACGACUUUCUGACCGUCGGUCAGCCAUCGGUAAUUGGUCUUUACUGACGGCUUCUGGCGUUUUCUGAGAGAUUUUGGCCUCAGGUAAUGCCCUUCAUUCGUGUAGUUAAUUAUAAAAGAUGACAAUAUCCACCAAAGUCACAAUGAUUUAAUUUAUGGAAUGUUCAAACCCCAACCUGCUUUGAUGUAAGGACAGGAGGUUUAUCUCCAAUUGUGAAUGUAAUGUUU
Long non-coding RNA from Vigna radiata var. radiata (mung bean), 1548 nucleotides. RefSeq lists it as uncharacterized. Lineage: Eukaryota; Viridiplantae; Streptophyta; Magnoliopsida; Fabales; Fabaceae. The record is from RefSeq and is a predicted model, not a curated record. The transcript has 5 exons.